Molecule: unclassified non-coding RNA, 447 nt
Filed under: uncultured fungus
Lineage: Eukaryota; Fungi
Description: partial contains 5.8S ribosomal RNA, internal transcribed spacer 2, and large subunit ribosomal RNA
Source: RNAcentral
AACGCACAUUGCGCUCGAGGCUUCGGCCAAGAGCAUGUCUGCCUCAGCGUCGUUUUUGUCCAAUCCAAAGUUUGGACGUUGAACAUCGUGCCUUCAGCCUGUUUCAGGGGUGUCGCAGCAUCACUGGCAGGUUGGCAUGGAUCUGACUUUCUCAGAGCUAGGAGCUGCUCUGCACUCCGUGUACUGAGUAGGUUGAAGAGCAGAAGCGGAGCAGGACAUGUCCCAAGCAAACAGGGGUCCACUGCUGGAUAGGCAAUAUCAAUUUGCACGAUGCAGUGCGUUCCUUUGGGACGUCUUUUGGACAACAAAAGAGUCUUGCUCCGACAGCAGGAAUGAGACAAAGCGUGUAGAAGGGCGUGCGAUCAUCGCCAGCUCAGCUACACCUUUCCGUCUCACCCCCCCUCCAAUUUCGACCUGAGCUCAGGCAAGAGCACCCGCUGAACUUAA